RNAcentral lists this ribosomal RNA (400 nucleotides) under uncultured bacterium. Its description in RNAcentral is "bacterial SSU rRNA". It matches the Rfam family "Bacterial small subunit ribosomal RNA", at positions 355 to 747 of the family's 1533-position model. The record is from RNAcentral.
UGGGGAAUUUUGGACAAUGGGGGGAACCCUGAUCCAGCAACGCCGCGUGAAUGAAGAAGGCCUUAGGGUUGUAAAGUUCUUUUAUAGUAGAGCAAGUGUAUAAGGUUAAGAGCUGUAUAUAUUGAGAGUAUACUAUGAAUAAGCACCGGCUAACUACGUGCCAGCAGCCGCGGUAAUACGUAGGGUGCGAGCGUUAAUCGGAAUUACUGGGCGUAAAGGGUGAGUAGGCGGAUAAAUAAGUUAGAUGUGAAAUACCAAGGCUUAACCUUGGGAGGUCAUUUAAUACUGUUGAUCUAGAGUAUGUUAGAGGGGGGUAGAAUUCCAAGUGUAGCAGUGAAAUGCGUAGAGAUUUGGAGGAAUAUCGAAGGCGAAGGCAGCCCCCUGGGAUGAUACUGACGCU